This 253-nucleotide ribosomal RNA is filed under the name uncultured bacterium. Its description in RNAcentral is "partial 16S ribosomal RNA". It matches the Rfam family "Bacterial small subunit ribosomal RNA", at positions 524 to 776 of the family's 1533-position model. The record is from RNAcentral.
UACGGAGGGAGCUAGCGUUGUUCGGAAUUACUGGGCGUAAAGCGCGCGUAGGCGGCUUUGUAGGUUAGAGGUGAAAGCCCGGGGCUCAACCCCGGAACAGCCUUUAAGACUGCAUCGCUAGAAUCCGGGAGAGGUGAGUGGAAUUCCGAGUGUAGAGGUGAAAUUCGUAGAUAUUCGGAAGAACACCAGUGGCGAAGGCGGCUCACUGGACCGGUAUUGACGCUGAGGUGCGAAAGCGUGGGGAGCAAACAGG